Long non-coding RNA from Mauremys reevesii (Reeves's turtle), 401 nucleotides. RefSeq lists it as uncharacterized. The transcript has 3 exons. The record is from RefSeq and is a predicted model, not a curated record. Lineage: Eukaryota; Metazoa; Chordata; Testudines; Geoemydidae.
AGCCUCCAUGAAGAUCCAGCUAGUUGGCCACAAGAGAUCGAGUCUUUCAGCUGGGUUUUUUUUUGGUAGAAAACAGACCUUUUGUUAAUUUAGAACGAGACUUUCUGCCUAGCAAACGCAAAGGAAAGCUAGCAUUAAAAUAAGGGGUUAAUAACCUAGAAAAUCACACGAACAACACUGCAAUCCACAAAGCCUGAGCUGGAAGCCUAAGUUCCCUAUAAAAUGCAUGGAGAUGUAGCCUGUAGGGAUGUUGCUUGCUUAUGUUUAUACAGGAAUGUACUGAAAUGUACCUAGGACUUUGAAGUGAAGCAAAAAGCAAUACUUAGUCAAUACUGACAAAGAAAAAGGGGAACAAACACAUUGCAGUGGAGCCAUUCAUGUUAACCUUUUCAAUACAAAUC